UUUCCGUAGGUGAACCUGCGGAAGGAUCAUUAGUGAAUUGAGUAUGUUAGCGGACCUCUUCGGAGUCCCUAGCAUCAAAUCAUAUCCAUAACACCCGUGAACUGUAAGACUGUCUUGAAAACGAAAGUGAUUACAGCGCCUGCCCAUUAUAUACAAACAUUCAAGUAACAAGCGUAGUCUUAUUAGAAUCUAAUAAAACUUUCAACAACGGAUCUCUUGGUUCUC
RNAcentral lists this unclassified non-coding RNA (225 nucleotides) under plant metagenome. RNAcentral describes it as "partial contains small subunit ribosomal RNA, internal transcribed spacer 1, and 5.8S ribosomal RNA". The record is from RNAcentral.